UACGUAGGGGGCGAGCGUUGUCCGGAUUUACUGGGCGUAAAGGGCGCGUAGGCGGAAGAUUAAGCGGGCCUUGAAAGCCCCCGGCUCAACCGGGGAAGGUGGGUGCGAACUGGUCUUCUUGAGGGCGAUAGAGGGGGGCGGAAUUCCUGGUGUAGCGGUGAAAUGCGUAGAGAUGUGGAGGAACACCGAUGGCGAAGGCAGCCCCCUGGGCUAACACUGACGCUCAUGCACGAAAGCGUGGGGAGCAAACAGG
Molecule: ribosomal RNA, 253 nt
Filed under: uncultured bacterium
Lineage: Bacteria
Description: partial 16S ribosomal RNA
Rfam family: Bacterial small subunit ribosomal RNA
Source: RNAcentral